This 611-nucleotide long non-coding RNA is filed under the name Gallus gallus (chicken). RNAcentral's name for it is "lncRNA (ENSGALG00010009055.1)". The record is from RNAcentral. Lineage: Eukaryota; Metazoa; Chordata; Aves; Galliformes; Phasianidae.
AAAAAAUAAAGAAAAACGCGUUAUCCCGUCGCUGUGAACGAUGCUCUGCCCCUGCUCAUCGCCGAGCGGAGGCCAUCGGCUCCCUGCCCGCCGCAAAGCCCCGCUUCCCAUGGGGAGCCCGCACCGAACACUCUACCGGUCCAUCUCUCCCGUGCCCCGGGGCGCCCAGGACGCGCCCACCCUGUCCUCCUUCCAGCGCCGCGGCAUCGCGGAGCUGCGCAGCGUUCCGCCGGGCAGGGUGGAGACGCAGAGAAGCGGGGCGGGGAAGAGGAGCCGGCGCCCUCGGCUGGCGGCCGCGGGGACUUCGGGGGAGAGAGGAGAGGCUCCUAGCGGGGCCGGGGCCGGGCCGUGGCGCCGCCUGGCGGCAGCUGUGCACGGGAUCUCAAACUCAACUUGAAAAACUGGAAUAUGCAUUGACUAGGGAGCCAUACCUUAAGGUCCCUACAGGAUGGUGUUGUAAGGAACAUCUAACAGUGCCAAGACCAUCUGCUUUCUUUCACCUAUAUUUUAAAUUCUCUGGAGGAGAAAGUAAUCUCAUCUCAGUAGUGCAAAAUGACUGAACCUGGAAGUUAAAAUUGUGAGCCACCUCACUACAGGAUCUAAAGAAAAAG